GGUAGCAUAAUCAUUUGUCUUAUAAUAGAAGGCUAGAAUGRAAGAGUUGACGACGCUAAAGCUUUUUUUAAAAAAAAAUUGAAUUUAAUAUUUUCAUCAAAAAGUGAAAAUAACCAAAAAGACGAUAAGACCCUAUAAAGCUUAAUUAAUAAAUUAAAUUUUUUAUUAAAGAAUUUUUUAAACUUAAUAAUUAAUUAAACUGGGGCGGUAAUUAUCAUUCUAUAAUAAACACAACAAUUAAUUAUUGUAUUUUUAGAUCUAAAAAAAGAUAUAGAACAAGCUACUUUAGGGAUAACAGCGUAAUUUUUUAUUAUAGAUCUUAUAGACUAACAAAACUUACGACCUCGAUGUUGAAUUGAGGGGCUCUCUAUAAGCAAAAAUAAGAGAGAGAGGUCUGUUCGACCUUUAA
This 409-nucleotide ribosomal RNA is filed under the name Eurycope producta. RNAcentral describes it as "partial 16S ribosomal RNA". The record is from RNAcentral. Lineage: Eukaryota; Metazoa; Arthropoda; Malacostraca; Isopoda; Munnopsidae.